CAAAACAAGCGGUGAGUGCUUUGGGGUGGGGUGACUGCGUACCUUUUGUAUAAUGGGUCAGCGACUUAUAUUCUGUAGCAAGGUUAACCGAAUAGGGGAGCCGGAGGGAAACCGAGUCUUAAUUGGGCGUUAAGUUGCAGGGUAUAGACCCGAAACCCGGUGAUCUAGCCAUGGGCAGGUUGAAGGUUGGGUAACACUAACUGGAGGACCGAACCGACUAAUGUUGAAAAAUUAGCGGAUGACCUGUGGCUGGGGGUGAAAGGCCAAUCAAACCGGGAGAUAGCUGGUUCUCCCCGAAAGCUAUUUAGGUAGCGCCUCGUGAAUUCAUCUCCGGGGGUAGAGCACUGUUUCGGCUAGGGGGCCAUCCCGGCUUACCAACCCGAUGCAAACUGCGAAUACCGGAGAAUGUUAUCACGGGAGACACACGGCGGGUGCUAACGUCCGUCGUGAAGAGGGAAACAACCCAGACCGCCAGCUAAGGUCCCAAAGUCAUGGUUAAGUGGGAAACGAUGUGGGAAGGCCCAGACAGCCAGGAUGUUGGCUUAGAAGCAGCCAUCAUUUAAAGAAAGCGUAAUAGCUCACUGGUCGAGUCGGCCUGCGCGGAAGAUGUAACGGGGCUAAACCAU
This 626-nucleotide ribosomal RNA is filed under the name Salmonella enterica subsp. enterica serovar Lexington. RNAcentral describes it as "partial 23S ribosomal RNA". It matches the Rfam family "Bacterial large subunit ribosomal RNA", at positions 566 to 1190 of the family's 2925-position model. Lineage: Bacteria; Pseudomonadati; Pseudomonadota; Gammaproteobacteria; Enterobacterales; Enterobacteriaceae. The record is from RNAcentral.